CCUACGGGGGGCAGCAGUAGGGAAUCUUUCACAAUGGGCGAAAGCCUGAUGGAGCAACGCCGCGUGCAGGAUGAAGGCCUUCGGGUUGUAAACUGCUUUUAUAAGCGAGAAAUAUGAUGGUAACUUAUGAAUAAGGAUCGGCUAACUACGUGCCAGCAGCCGCGGUCAUACGUAGGAUCCGAGAAUUAUCCGGAGUGACUGGGUGUAAAGAGUUGCGUAGGUGGCAUAAUAAGUAGCUAGUGAAAUCUGGUGGCUCAACCAUUCAGACUAUUAGGUAAACUGUUAAGCUCGAGACCGUUAGGGGUAACUGGAAUUUCUAGUGUAGGAGUGAAAUCCGUAGAUAUUAGAAGGAACACCAAUAGCGUAGGCAGGUUGCUGGGACGGUUCUGACACUAAGGCACGAAAGCGUAGGGAGCAAACGGGAUUAGAUACCCCUGUAGUC
Molecule: ribosomal RNA, 442 nt
Filed under: uncultured bacterium
Lineage: Bacteria
Description: partial 16S ribosomal RNA
Rfam family: Bacterial small subunit ribosomal RNA
Source: RNAcentral